Molecule: long non-coding RNA, 2840 nt
Organism: Melospiza melodia melodia
Lineage: Eukaryota; Metazoa; Chordata; Aves; Passeriformes; Passerellidae
Exons: 5
Source: RefSeq, a predicted model, not a curated record
UGGGGCGGCCGCCCUCGGGCUGGCGGAGGCGCCGGAGGAGCCCCCGAGCUGCAGCCGUCUCCCUCGGGCUGCUGCCGGUGCUGCGGGCGGAGGCGGCUCCGCCGCGUGUUGGGCGCUGCGAGCAGGGAGCGCUGCGGUAUCGCCGGCAUGACGGGGCUGCUGCCUGCGUUAGUGCUCGUGGCUCUUUGUGCCGUGACAGCGGAUGGAGCGGCGCUGGGCGGUAAAGCCAGAGAUGGCCGGGAGAAUGCCCAGCGCAGGGAGCAGGCGGGCUGUAUGCUUCGGAUGGCACAGGGUACUCACAAAAUAUGUCUCCCUUAGUGUCUCACAGAAACAUUCUGGGUGAAAUCUGAAUUAAGGUAUGUGUUUUCAAAUAAGUAAUCAGUUUAGAUAUUUGCCUGUGUACCUUUUCCUGUAAUUCAGAGCUUGUGUUCUGUGGGUUUUAUGAUAAACCUGUAAAACAUGUAAGAAUGGUUUUGCAAGUCUGAAUCGUUGAAGGCAGCAAUAAGUGGAUUUAAAGCCUGUUCUUGAGCAGACAAAGGGGAAAAGUGUGACUCUGAUGCUGAACUUGUCAUUUUUCAUUUGACUUGCCUUUAAUUAUUGAAGAAGAGAGAGAACUAGGAAAAGAAAUAGAAUUGGUUAUUGAGCACUCCUAAAAAGCUCACCAUGAUUCUGUGUAGAGCCAAAGUGAAGGAUGAUGGAACAGAGCUCUGUGCAUUAGAAGGAAAUAAACCUGAUGUCCACACAGAGUCUUACUAAUUUCUGUUUUUAAAAUGCAAAAUAAGUUUAGGAAGUGUUGGAAGUUAGUAUUUUGGGAAAGAAAUAGCAGUUCCACAAAACAUUCCGUUCCAUUUAAGAGAGGCCCUUGGACUGAUUCAUGUUGUAACUGCUGUCACUGCAAUCAGUUGGUGGUUCAGCCUUGAAACAUGCACUUGGCCUUCUAUAAAGCACUGUUUUGUUUGCCUUUCAGUGCUAUGAGUCUUGAUAAAUUGGAGAAGUGCCCAAGAGAAAUUCAUCAUCCUGAGAUACGAAAGGUAGGAAGUGACUUUUUUUGGUUUGGUUCUUUUUCUUUAUUAUUUUCUGGAAAUAGAAGUAAUUAAGUAUAGAUACUACUGGUUUGUUUCUUCCAGUAGCUGAUAAUACUAAUACCAAUAAUAAUAAUAAUAAGAGUAAAGUAAUACUACUUAAAUUGUCUUUAUUUAUCCAUUGAACUGGCCAUUUCAAAUCUAAACUUCUAAACACAAAUCAAACCAUCAUCCUUGUAGAAUCUUUAAUAGGAGUGGGCUAAAGAUCCUGGUUUUGUUGACAGGAUUUAUUGGUUCAUGAAGAGCAAGAGGUAAGUACAAGCCUAACUACCCUCUAGCUCACAGACCUGCCCGGUGAAUAGAGCUUUGUUUUUUUGAUUGGCUUGUGAUGACUUUGAAAUCAAUUGCUCAUUCAUUACAGUAAAAAAAAAAAAAAUUGUUUUGAACAUGACAGCAAAAAUAACUUUAAGCACAACUUAAUAAUAAUAGAUCACCAAUUUUAGUUAAUAAUUUUAUGCUAUACUCUUGGGUGAGGGAAGACUCGGACACUCAAUAUGAGAUCAGCAAGCUAUGUUUAUUGCAGAGAGUAUCAGACACUUAUACAGCACAUAAUAAGCUUAUGAAUAUUCUGUAAGCCAAGCGAUCUAUUGGUUAAACUAUACCAUCAACUCUUCCUCAUUCCUUUGGGCCUACAUUCCCUAUUUCCCACGUCUCUCUGUCUACUUGUUAUCCUACCCAGCUAGGCCCAGGCACACGCUAUCUUGCAGGUGCAAAACUCAAAAAUACCUGUGUUCGGUACUUUCCCAGCUCCUGGUCGGCUAACGAGCGAAUGUCUGCGUGACCUCUGUCAUGGAGCCAUUUCUCCACACUAUACUAUCAAAGUUUAAAGGUAAAUUAUUAUAUAUUAGGAGAUGGUGUAAAGUGUAUGUUGUAAUGUGUAGGAUAUAUACAAAGAUACGUACUUGAAAGUCCGUAGAGGAAACAAAUUUUUACACCUUCUGUUUGACUGUUUGUCAUAUAUUUGGUUUUAUUUCCCAGGGAUCAGUGAAUUUUAACUCUGGAGUCCUCUAUGCUAAGGAUGCUCAGCUUACAGAUGAUGAAAUGUUCAGUAAUGUAUUUGCUGGAGCUGUGCUUACCCAAGGUUUGGGUAAAACAAGCUUUGGGUUCCCUCUGUCUCACUGGGAGUUGCCCAAUUCAGUUGCAUCUGGUGAAAUUCACCCUGAGACCUUACAGAACCAGCUCCAACUACGUGAGAGCCAUUUGCAGUUCUCUCCAGACGCCUGGAGAAUGGGUGACGUUUCUGAGGAUCCGGCGAGCGUGCUUCUGUCAAAACUCAGUCUGUGAAAUUCCUGGGGAAAACCCUUCUGUGUCCUGAAGGGUUCAAACUCUGGUGAGGAUCCAGUUAUCAGGUGCUCACCUGGAUGGUUCCAGCUCCCAAAGGGAAAGACUCUCGUAUCCUUGUCGUCGGGCUCGGUGCUGUCCAAGAAGAUACAGAGACUAAAAAAAUCAUAAGAAGGAAAAUAUGACUGCAGGGAAAAGAAGCUGGAGAGAACAGAAGACUCAUCACGGCGGGACAGCGUGAGGACUGAAAGUGUAAGAAGAUGUGGAGGGAAAGAGAGAAUCUGACAGGAGCAGCGAACGCACGAGUGCACGAAUUUUGCUUUUUGCUUGGAUGUAAACUCAGGAGUUGAAAGGAAUUUGGGAGUGAGAAGGGACAUUUCAGAAGGAGAAGAAGAAAAAGAAGUUGUUGUUGUUGCUACAGUCCUGGCAAAAGCUUUUGUUCUAGCUAAUAAAAGAAGUUAGUUUAAAAAACAAAAA